This is a non-coding RNA of Stegodyphus mimosarum, 73 nucleotides long. Lineage: Eukaryota; Metazoa; Arthropoda; Arachnida; Araneae; Eresidae. The record is from Rfam.
ACCUUCGUUGUGUAGUGGUCAGCACGCUGGACACGUAAUCGAGGGGUCCGUGGUUCGAUUCCCGGCGAAGGCG